CUUCCUUGGCGCGUAGAGCCGGGCGCCCGAGGCUCCGUCCAAUCCGCUCCUCCUCUGCCUCAGGGAGCGUUUUCGCUCUCAGCCAAUGGGCGUCGCUCCGCUGUCUCCGUCCCGCCUUCCCUCGCAGAGGCGUCUUCAUUCCUGGCGAGCGGCGGCCGGAGGAGGAGGAGGAGGAGGAGGACGGAGGCAGCUUCGGCCGUCAUGAGCAGCCGGGCUCCGCGGGGCUCGGCUCCGGCCGGGCUGCCGGCGUGGAAGCAGGCCAUCCUGGAGCGGAAGCGGGCCAAACUGGCGUCCGGCGUCGGGCUCUUCAGGGGCUCCCCUCCGCGCUCUCCGCCUGGAGCCGGAGGGAAGGAGCCGCCGGUGCCUCCGAGGCCGGUGGAGGGGGAGCCGGAGGGGGAGCGGCUGGUGGUGGCGGAGAGCCUGGGCCCGCUGCGGGAGAACCCCUUCAUGCGCCUGGAGAGCGAGCGCCGCCGCCGGAGGGGCAGGAGGCGGGCCCCGGCCGUGGCCCCCGAGGCGCCCUCCUCUCCCCAGCCGCCGCCUCCGCCGCCCUCCAGGCCCCCCGCCGCCGCCCCGGAGCCCCCCGCCCUGACGCAGCUGCUCGAGCUCUACAGCUCCAUGCCGGGCAUCCGCACCAUCCGCGCCGACAACAUCCUCAUCAUCGAGUCCCGCGGAGGGGAUGGCGCCAAGGGACACCACCAGCCCCGCCGCAAAGGGCCGCCCUCCGCUUCCUCCGCGGAGCCCCUGCGCCGCCUCCUCUCCCAGGCAGGGGCCCCCCUCACCGAGAUCCGGGCCACGGAGGUGGUCAUCUACGAGCCCCAGCCCCCGCAGGAGGCACCCAGGGCCACCGCUCCGGACGCAGAGCAGGAGGACAAGGAGGCAGCCCUGGCUGAAGCGGGGAGGGUCAGCCGGCUGAUGAAGAAGUUCGAUACCCAGAAGCCCCCCGGAGGAGGAGGCAGCAGCGGCAGCAGCAGCAUUGGCGCAGGGAGAGGCAGGUGGCGAGGCGGAGAGGCCCCUCGGCCAGAGGCCUCGCAAGCGGCGGACGCAGUGCCAAACGCCAGCCCCCGGCUGGAGGGGACCUCCUUGGCCGCUAAGGCCGCCAGCACCACCCGCCCCUUCCCUCCGUGCAGCAUCCUCCUCGGCGGUGGCGGCUUCGUGCGGAAGAUCGGAGCCAACUCCUUCACGGUGAACCCGCGGGGGAGACGCUUCCCCGGCCACACUGCUCCUGGUCCCCCGUCUGCUGGCCCUGCUCCGCCGCUGCUCAGCAAUGGCCCCGUGGGGACAGAGGGGGCCCAAAACCCGCGGGGGCCGCCUGACGCCACCGACCCCAAGCCAGUGCCAUCGCCAAGUGCCGCUGUGGCUUCGCCUCCCGCCCCGGCCAGUUCGCAGAAGCCAAAGUCCGAGGAGACCCUUGAGAGCCCCUCUCCGCUGCCUCUGCCGCCCCAGCCACGCAGUGCCAGUCCAGACAGCAGUGCCACGGCUGGCUUGCCCCGGCCCCUGCAGCCCUUCGGCUCGGGCGGCACGGCCUUCGAGAUCCGCCCGGCCCCCAAGCCGGACCUGGCCGCCAUCCCUGCGCACGACCUCCAGGCCCAGGCCCUGGCCAGCCUGCGCCUCAACUCCCGCAACUCCUUUCUCUUUGUGCCCCACCGAAAGGGGGAGGCUCCCAGUGCCCUGGAGCCCAUAGAAGUCCUGCCUGCUUUACCCGGAGCGGUCCCUGAGAAGCAUCCUGAGAUGCCGGUGCCUGUCACUUUCAUUGACGAGGAUUGGGGGGAGCCGGAGCCUGGCCUCUUGCCCCCCUUGAGGGUUCUGAGUCCGAGGCUGGAAGGCUUCGACGUGCCCCACGAUGGUAACCUGGCUCUGGAGAUGGAGGACUCCUCUGUGCCCAUGUACAGGAGCCACACCUUUACCAUUGUGCCCAAAAGGAAGCCCCCCGCAGCCGGGCUGGAGACCUUCAAUAGAGCUUGGGUACUAGAGGAGGACGAUGAAGAGGAAGAGGUCCGAGCCAAAGCCAGGACUGGCGUGCCCCACGAGGAGCUGGGCCAUCUCCUCAAGAAGCGCUACCCCACCGUCAAUGAGAUCGAAGUGAUCGGGGGCUACCUCUCCCUUGAUAAGUCCUGCAUGAGUAAAUCAGGCUCCCAGCGCAAGAAGGUAACCGGACAGCCUUCCUUGUGGUCAGCCAUUUUGCUGACCCAGCUGGACUCCAAGGGAGGGCAGAAGGCAAGCCUUUCUCCUCUGCCAACCUUGAUGAAUAUAAACAGCCCUGUGUCUUCUGUAAAUUAUCUACUUCACACUCUCUCAGUCUCUGGCAUUGUGGGGGACAUUUUUAUUUUUGCAGUGGAGUGGCUUGUGCCCAAGUGUCCAGUGAACAGACUGUGCUACUUGCAGUCAUAACCUCCUGGCAUAAACACACCUGAAGUCGAUGAAGGGUUGGAGCGUGUGUGUGCUUGUGUGCGGGGGAAUUCUCUUGCGUGUGGGACAGGAGCAAUGUGUUCCUACAUUUCCUUGCUUGCAGUGCCUAAGGAACAGGUUUCCUCUCGCCUGCCCUGGUUCCAUCUUGGCAGGCAACGGUUUCUGGUGAAGGUUCUGCCUAGCUGACUUCCUUCAUCUGUCUCAGGAAUAGUUCCUGCCCAUCCAACCUGUAGCCUCCUGGCGCAAAGGAGCAUUUCUGAGAUCAAAGCUUGUGGCUGGUGCUUUCUUUAGGCACUGGUUUGGAAAAGCAAGCCUUCAUGUUGGGACAGCUGCAUGUGCUUCUUUGGGCCAGAAAGUGAGGUGCUGUGCAAAAGCAAUUGAGCAGUGGGAGUGUUGUGUUUAUGGGGCGAAAGGAAUCCCUUCUUGUGGUAACAAAAUGAGUCCCAACAUGCACUGCCCAGGGACUGCUGGCAUAGCAGAGGAGCUCUCCUGUGCCAGAUGCUUUCCCUUGAAGGGCACUGAGCCACCAGUGUGGCUGCUCUAUAUUUAUCAAGUUAGCAGGGACCUGGUGGCUGUAGCAAGCCAUAGUUGGCUACCUGAGAUUGUCAUGACUGACUCUGGCUGGAGCGUAGCUGCUUCUUUGCCCUUUGGUGCCCAACAUGAGACUGUAGAGCUCCUUCCUGAGCAUAGUCUGUCUUUCUCAUUGGACCAUUAAAAUCCUCCAUCAAACUCACAAUUCCCCAAGUGCUAAGAUGUGUACGCUUUCUGUCUAUAAACAGCCAGUGAUCCUUAGAGGGGCAUUUGCUUAAUCUAUCAUCAGGCGGCUAAUAAGUGGCUUUCUCAGAGCCUUCCAAGCCUUUGUAGUAGCGCAGGGCUUCCCUGUGGCCACAGGCAUGAGGCUGUCAGCAUGCCAGGGGUGGGUGGGGAGACUGACAAUGGGGCACAGUCCUUUUCACAGAAAGAGCCAUUGCUGGGCUGGGAAGCUUUGGGAUGUGUUUUGGUCUCAGAUGUUGCCAGAGCGCAUCCCUGUGAUGGUGCUUGUGAAGGGAGGGUGAAGCCAAUCAGCUGGGCUCUGCCUUGGGCUGAAUCAGAGAAGGUGGGGUUCCACUGCAUCCCACAAACUACAGCUUCCAGAGCUGCUGGGUGAUUUUGGCGGAGGCUGGAGCUGCUUCUCUCUGAGCUCAUUACCCCAGGUCUACCUCCUUUGUCUGAGUAGAGAAGUAAAGCCGGCCUGCUUGCUCUUUCCUUUAGUUCUUUUCCCUGUAAGAAAAGAGUGAAAGCUAAGGCACUGGUGAACAAACUUCAGCCAGAGUAAGCAAGAGUGUUCAGCCCCAUGUAGGAUUUCUUCCAACGCUGAUGAGAAGGAGAAAAGUGGAGGCUGUUGCUUGCUCUACUUCCAUGUCCUGGGAGGGCACAUGCUUAUGGUCUGUGCUUUUCUAGGACUUGUGCAUCUUUGGAUGGGAUUUCCAAGGGAAGGAGGAAGAGAGAGAAAAUGGUUUCCUCCUCAUCCUAGUGUUUGACUUUCAGAUUUGAUUGCCAGUGGCUGUGGUGCAGUUGUAUUCCAAAUGUUGUCCCGAUAGAGCUAGCAAGGGAGUCACAGCCAAGUCUCUGUAGCUGGAAGACAGAAGCAUAUCUGCUAGUUUUAUGGAGACCUUAAUACCCUCAAGGCCCCAGAGCCUCUCUGAUCUUGGAAGCUAAACAGGCUCAUGCUUGGUUAGCACUUGGAUGGGAGACCGCCAACUCAUCCCAGGUGCUGUGGACUACAUUUCAGGGGAAGGAAUGGAUAAGACUACCUUGAGGAUUCCUGUGAAGUUGAUGGGGUACCCAUAAGUCAACAGGCGACUUGAAGGCAUACCUCCCCACCCAAAGUUUUGGCUUAGUUCUCUUCUAUGCUUCCCCAAGUGCUGCAAGGUUACAGCUGCUCAGAAACUGGCCCAGCUGGCACCCGAGAGCUUUAUUAUUCUUAACCAGAAAGGAGCGCAUGCAGUGCCAAGCGAUGAAGAUUUCUUUCAAUGAGACCAGCCUGCAAACAAUGUUUGAGUAUCCCUCUGAGAGUUCUUUGGUGGAGGAGGAAGAGGAGGAAGAAGAAGAAUAUGCCACAGAGGUGGAUGAGACACC
Molecule: RNA transcript, 4524 nt
Organism: Sceloporus undulatus (fence lizard)
Lineage: Eukaryota; Metazoa; Chordata; Lepidosauria; Squamata; Phrynosomatidae
Gene: TPRN
Gene name: taperin
Exons: 2
Source: RefSeq, a predicted model, not a curated record